AUUGAACUAAGACAUAAACCAUUGAUACAUGAUUAGUAUGUUGAAUGUAAAAUGCACAUUCCUGAAACCACACUUGAAGCAAGAAUUAAAAGGAUAUGGAAACCAAAUACCAAUACCCAACACAUCACCUAAUGUAACAUGGGUGUAUGUACUGUGUAGGGUGUUUGAUGAGAAUGCAUUUAUGGAAAAAUAAUAAUGGUAUGGGCUUGUCCAAGUGCAUUUUAUAAAACAACAUUAGGUUGAAGAGAGAAAACAAACAUAAAAUAUCUGAAAUAUUUUGCACACAUAAAACUAUUUAUUUAAUGAUAUAUUAUUUUACUAAAGAGUUUUGCAAAAUAGAGAGUUGGCAAACAUUUUAACCUAUAAAACAGCAAUAUCUGUACCAAAUAAAACAAAACACACUUUAUAAACAAUGUCCAAGUUGAAGGAAGGAUACAUAACUUAAGGACAUUUUAAGGGAAAGUCUAAUGAAGACAACCCAAGUUCACCUUAGAUCUGCCUUAUUUCUCUAACAUGGCCCACCAGGGCACAACGGGAGGGAUACAGCUGCUGAAGACAACGUUCCCAAACAGGAACAUUUUCAAACUUAUCUUAAAAAUUGGAAAAAAUAAGAACUUAAAUUUGUUUUUUAGUUCUACGUGACAUUAUGUGAAUGUCAUAAUACUGUUUGCUUUUACUGCAAUAAAAUACACAUAUUUGUAUUCAGCGAUGUCUCAUGUGUAAAACAGUACCCCCUAUGUACAGUUUUUAUGGUGUUUUGGGAAGUUACAGGGUCAAAUAUAGCAUGUUAAAUUUUCCAUUUUUUUCACAUUGAAGAUUGGUUGGUCACGUUGCCUUUGAGACUGUAUGGUAGCCCAGGAAUGAGAAUUACCCCCAUGGUGGCAUACCACUUGCAUAAGUAGAUAACCCAAGGUAUUGCAAAUGGGAUAUGUCCAGUCUUUUUUAGUAGCCACUUGGUCACAAACACUGGCCAAAGUUAGUGUUAAUAUUUGUUUGUGUGUGAAAAAUGCAAAUUUGGCCAGUGUUUUGUGACUUGGUGGCUACUAAAAAAGACUGGACAUACCCCAUUUGCAAUACCUUGGCUUGUCUACUAUUGCAAAUGGUAUGCCAUCAUGGGGGUAAUUUUCAUUCACAACAAUUAUAUCGUCCAUGUAUGUGCCAUUUAAAAAAAUGCAAAAAGAUUCACUUUCACUGACAAUAUCAUCGUUGUAAUACAUGUUACUGUUUUGAAA
This is a non-coding RNA of Pelobates cultripes (western spadefoot toad), 1232 nucleotides long. Lineage: Eukaryota; Metazoa; Chordata; Amphibia; Anura; Pelobatidae. The record is from the annotation of a GenBank genome assembly.